AGAAAACUGACGUCCAGAGCUGGGGGAACUUGCCAAGACCACGCAGACGCCUCGAGCUGCAGUGCGCACCCAUCCCGAGCUAGUUCUGCCUGGAAAACCCUGCUGGUCCUUCAACCACCCACCUGCCGCGUCCCCGACACAGAUGUCGCUUCCUUUCAGAACUUGCCUCCCUAGCUGGAUGCCCUGAGCUCCCACGGUCUCCAGCGGCUGUUGUGCUGUGUUUCCCCCAUCAGACGGCAUUUCCUGGAGGGCAGCCAGCACAGGACAGAGGACCCGUCAAGCGUUGUGGAGGCCACGUGUCUGAGGGACAUCGCAAGACUCAUCACAGGGCCGCCCCGGGCUUCUGGUCAGGAGCAGACAAUGAAACCCAAACCCCAGUGUGUUCCAAGCACUGUUAGGCUUCCUGUAGGACCUGGACUCAGGAGGAACCACAGUCACCUGACACCCCCCUCCUCGGCCUGUACGCAGUGGGAUCCUUUGCUGAACUGGGCUCCUGGGGGUCCGUGACUGUGAACGUGACCAGAUCCUAAGGUGGUGUCCUCGAGGAAGGCUCGGACCUAGAACGGAGAAUGGCAGGUUGAGGCUCUGCCCAGCUCCAGGCAGCCUGAAGGGUCGCUCUGAAGCUCAAAGUGAUCACUUCACUUCUGUUUCAAGCCCUUCUCUGUCUCCCUCGUUCUCUGGGGUGAAGGCCUCGUGCCUCAGCCUGGUGCUCAGGGCCCUUCGCCAUCCUCGCCUGCCCUUCCAGCUUCCUUUCCUGCCACUUUCCACCUCAAACCCGCCAGCCGCAAUACGUCUCCCUGUUCCCAAGAGGCACCAAGGCCUUCACACCUCCAAGCCUUUGCACUCACGGCAACCUGAAUCUGCGAUACCUCAGAAAACUCCUACUCGUCCUUCAACACCCAGCUCAGAUGACGGCGUUCCCCUAAGAGAUGCCCUAGCCAGCGUCACUCACGCUGGAGUCAGGGUCCUGUGGUUGCCCACACUCUGCGAUUCCGAUGAGGAAAAGGAGGCUCAUAGACGCAAGAAUGACUGAGACAUGGGCUUCCCUGGUGGCACAGUGGUUAAGAAUCCACCUGCCAGGGCUUCCCUGGUGGCGCAGCGGUUGAGAGUCCGCCUGCCGAUGAAGGGGACACGGGUUUGUGCCCCGGUCCGGGAGGAUCCCACAUGCCGCGGAGCGGCUGGGCCCGUGAGCCGUGGCCGCUGAGCUUGCGCGUCCGGAGCCUGUGCUCCGCAACGGGAGAGGCCGCAGCAGUGAGAGGCCCACGUACCGCAAAAAAAAAAAAGAAUCCACCUGCCAACGCAGGGGACGCGGGCUUGAGCCCUGGUCCGGGAAGAUCCCACAUGCCGUGGAGCAGCUAAGCCCGUGCGCCACAACUACUGAGCCCACGUGCCACAACUACUGAAGCUCGCGUGCCUACAGCCCGUGCUUGGCAACAAGAAAAGCCACUGCAAUGAGAAGCCCGCGCACCGCAACAAAGAGUAGCCCCCACUCGCUGCAACUAGAGAAAGCCCGCACGCAGCAACGAAGACCCAACGCAGCCAGAAACAGUUCCCGGUCAGGAUGGCGGAUUGAGGUGCUAUGGGAGGCUCUCUUUCUAUCUACAGACACACAGAAGUGCAGGAGAGAAUAUAACCAUUUAAGAUGAUCCAGAGUCCAGGUCAAAAACAAAAAGGUAGGGGCAGCCACGUGACGCAGUUCUGGCCAAGUUGAUGGAGGUACAAGUUCUGGCGGGAGAAGGUGGGGGAGCCUCUCCCUGAAUACAAAGGCAAAGCUCACUAGAAGAAAAUCCUUCCCACCCCCAAUAUCACUGGUCCUUCUUAUGCCUGGACAGCAGACAUGAGGCCUGGAGGUGCAGCAGCCAUCUUGUAACCAUGAGUCAGCCACGAAAAAGGUAAAGUGGAAAGACAGAAAGAACACAGGCUGUGGGGGCAGACAGACCUUCGUUUUCCACUUUCUGGCUGUGUGGCCUUGGGUACGUCACUUAACUUCUCGGAGCCUCACUUCCCACAACCUGUAAGAUGGGGAUAAAACCUCUCCCUUGAACAGUCCUUGUGAGGAUUAAAUACUGCGUUGACUAUGGAUCCACUUUUUCUCCUGUAAAGAGCUAUCCCAAUGUUUGGAGUUAUUUUUACAAUCAUGCUGUGACAGUUACUUUAGAGCAAAAGAAAGAAGAGACCCUUUAUUUCUCCUCUUGGAGAAAGUUGCAAGGCGGGAUACGGGCCUCAAGCCAGCCAACGGGCCCUGCUCUUUGGCCGAUCAGUUAUGCAAACAGGAAGUGACUAUCCAAACAUUUGGAGCUGCACAAGGCUAGCCCAGAACCAGCCU
This is a long non-coding RNA of Physeter macrocephalus (sperm whale), 2326 nucleotides long. RefSeq lists it as uncharacterized. Lineage: Eukaryota; Metazoa; Chordata; Mammalia; Artiodactyla; Physeteridae. The record is from RefSeq and is a predicted model, not a curated record. The transcript is spliced from 8 exons.